AUUGAACGCUGGCGGCAGGCCUAACACAUGCAAGUCGAACGAGUGGCGGACGGGUGAGUAAUGUCUGGGAAACUGCCUGAUGGAGGGGGAUAACUACUGGAAACGGUAGCUAAUACCGCAUACCAUCAGAUGUGCCCAGAUCGGAGUAGCUUGUUGGUUGGGUAACGGCUCACCAAGGCGACGAUCCCUAGCUGGUCUGAGAGGAUGACCAGCCACACUGGAACUGAGACACGGUCCAGACUCCUACGGGAGGCAGCAGUGGGGAAGAUUGCACAAGGGGCGCAAGCCUGAUGCAGACAUGCCGCGGGUAUGAAGAAGGCCUUCGGGGUGUAAAGUACUUUCAGCGGGGAGGCGGUAACAGAAGAAGAAGCACCGGCUAACUCCGUGCCAGCAGCCGCGGUAAGAG
Molecule: ribosomal RNA, 406 nt
Filed under: uncultured bacterium
Lineage: Bacteria
Description: partial 16S ribosomal RNA
Rfam family: Bacterial small subunit ribosomal RNA
Source: RNAcentral